AUCCUGGCUCAGGAUGAACGCUAGCUACAGGCUUAACACAUGCAAGUCGAGGGGCAGCAUGGUCUUAGCUUGCUAAGGCCGAUGGCGACCGGCGCACGGGUGAGUAACACGUAUCCAACCUGCCUUACACUCUUGGACAGCCUUCUGAAAGGGAGAUUAAUACAAGAUGUUAUCAUGAGUAAGCAUUUUCGCAUGAUUAAAGGUUUACCGGUGUAAGAUGGGGAUGCGUUCCAUUAGAUAGUAGGCGGGGUAACGGCCCACCUAGUCUUCGAUGGAUAGGGGUUCUGAGAGGAAGGUCCCCCACAUUGGAACUGAGACACGGUCCAAACUCCUACGGGAGGCAGCAGUGAGGAAUAUUGGUCAAUGGACGAGAGUCUGAACCAGCCAAGUAGCGUGAAGGAUGAAGGUCCUACGGAUUGUAAACUUCUUUUAUAAGGGAAUAAAACCUCCCACGUGUGGGAGCUUGUAUGUACCUUAUGAAUAAGCAUCGGCUAACUCCGUG
RNAcentral lists this ribosomal RNA (502 nucleotides) under uncultured bacterium. RNAcentral's name for it is "bacterial SSU rRNA". It matches the Rfam family "Bacterial small subunit ribosomal RNA", at positions 16 to 507 of the family's 1533-position model. The record is from RNAcentral.